CGGCGGACGGCUGAGUAACGCGUAGGAACGUACCCCAAACUGAGGGAUAAGCACCAGAAAUGGUGUCUAAUACCGCAUGUGCUCUGCGGAGUAAAGCUUCGGCGGUUUGGGAACGGCCUGCGUAAGAUUAGCUUGUUGGUGAGGUAAUGGCUCACCAAGGCGACGAUCUUUAGCUGGUCUGAGAGGAUGACCAGCCAGACUGGGACUGAGACACGGCCCAG
Molecule: ribosomal RNA, 221 nt
Filed under: uncultured bacterium
Lineage: Bacteria
Description: partial 16S ribosomal RNA
Rfam family: Bacterial small subunit ribosomal RNA
Source: RNAcentral